This 767-nucleotide ribosomal RNA is filed under the name uncultured fungus. RNAcentral describes it as "eukaryotic LSU rRNA". It matches the Rfam family "Eukaryotic large subunit ribosomal RNA", at positions 30 to 821 of the family's 3401-position model. The record is from RNAcentral. Lineage: Eukaryota; Fungi.
GAACUUAAGCAUAUCAAUAAGCGGAGGAAAAGAAACCAACAGGGAUUGCCUUAGUAACGGCGAGUGAAGCGGCAACAGCUCAAAUUUGAAAUCUGCCUCUAGGCCGAGUUGUAAUUUGUAGAAGAUGCUUCGGGUGUGGCACUGGUCUAAGUUCCUUGGAACAGGACGUCAUAGAGGGUGAGAAUCCCGUACGUGACUGGCUGCCUUCGCCCAUGUGAAGCUCUUUCGACGAGUCGAGUUGUUUGGGAAUGCAGCUCAAAAUGGGUGGUAUAUUUCAUCUAAAGCUAAAUAUUGGCCAGAGACCGAUAGCGCACAAGUAGAGUGAUCGAAAGAUGAAAAGCACUUUGGAAAGAGAGUUAAACAGUACGUGAAAUUGUUGAAAGGGAAGCGCUUGCAACCAGACUUGCGCGCCGUCGAUCAUCCGAGGUUUUCCCCGGUGCACUCGGCGGUGCUCAGGCCAGCAUCGGUUUCGGUGGUUAGAUAAAGGCCUUGGGAAUGUGGCUCCUCCGGGAGUGUUAUAGCCCUCGGUGCAAUGUAGCCUACCGGGACCGAGGACCGCGCUUCGGCUAGGAUGCUGGCAUAAUGGUUGUAAGCGACCCGUCUUGAAACACGGACCAAGGAGUCUAACAUCUAUGCGAGUGUUUGGGUGUCAAACCCAUGCGCGUAAUUAACGUGAACGGAGGUGAGAACCCUUAAGGGUGCAUCAUCGACCGAUCCUGAUGUCUUCGGAUGGAUUUGAGUAAGAGCAUAACUGUUGGGACCCGAAA